RNAcentral lists this ribosomal RNA (406 nucleotides) under uncultured prokaryote. RNAcentral describes it as "bacterial SSU rRNA". It matches the Rfam family "Bacterial small subunit ribosomal RNA", at positions 355 to 776 of the family's 1533-position model. RNAcentral also lists the same sequence under 1 other name. The record is from RNAcentral.
UGGGGAAUAUUGCACAAUGGGCGAAAGCCUGAUGCAGCAACGCCGCGUGAAGGAUGAAGGUCUUCGGAUCGUAAACUUCUGUCCUUGGGGAAGAAAUAAAUGACGGUACCCUUGGAGGAAGCCCCGGCUAACUACGUGCCAGCAGCCGCGGUAAUACGUAGGGGGCGAGCGUUAUCCGGAAUUAUUGGGCGUAAAGAGUGCGUAGGUGGUAACUUAAGCGCGGGGUUUAAGGCAAUAGCUCAACUAUUGUUCGCCCCGCGAACUGGGGUACUUGAGUGCAGGAGAGGAAAGCGGAAUUCCUAGUGUAGCGGUGAAAUGCGUAGAUAUUAGGAGGAACACCAGCGGCGAAGGCGGCUUUCUGGACUGAAACUGACACUGAGGCACGAAAGUGUGGGGAGCAAACAGG